This 258-nucleotide ribosomal RNA is filed under the name uncultured Pseudomonas sp. Its description in RNAcentral is "partial 16S ribosomal RNA". It matches the Rfam family "Bacterial small subunit ribosomal RNA", at positions 1123 to 1382 of the family's 1533-position model. Lineage: Bacteria; Pseudomonadati; Pseudomonadota; Gammaproteobacteria; Pseudomonadales; Pseudomonadaceae. The record is from RNAcentral.
ACGGUUAUGGUGGGCACUCUAAGGAGACUGCCGGUGCAACCGGAGGAAGUGGGGAUGACGUCAAGUCAUCAUGGCCCUUACGGCCUGGGCUACACACGUGCUACAAUGGUCGGUACAAAGGGUUGCCAAGCCGCGAGGUGGAGCUAAUCCCAUAAAACCGAUCGUAGUCCGGAUCGCAGUCUGCAACUCGACUGCGUGAAGUCGGAAUCGCUAGUAAUCGUGAAUCAGAAUGUCACGGUGAAUACGUUCCCGGGCCUU